Molecule: ribosomal RNA, 649 nt
Filed under: uncultured Actinomycetes bacterium
Lineage: Bacteria; Bacillati; Actinomycetota; Actinomycetes
Description: bacterial SSU rRNA
Rfam family: Bacterial small subunit ribosomal RNA
Source: RNAcentral
UCGCGGCCUAUCAGCUUGUUGGUGGGGUGAUGGCCUACCAAGGCGACGGCGGGUAGCCGGCCUGAGAGGGCGACCGGCCACACUGGGACUGAGACACGGCCCAGACUCCUACGGGAGGCAGCAGUGGGGAAUAUUGCACAAUGGGCGCAAGCCUGAUGCAGCGACGCCGCGUGGGGGAUGACGGCCUUCGGGUUGUAAACCUCUUUCGUCAGGGAAGAAGCCUUUUUGGGGUGACGGUAUCUGGAGAAGAAGCACCGGCUAACUACGUGCCAGCAGCCGCGGUAAUACGUAGGGUGCGAGCGUUGUCCGGAAUUAUUGGGCGUAAAGAGCUUGUAGGCGGUUUGUCGCGUCUGCGGUGAAAACCCGGGGCUUAACCUUGGGCGUGCCGUGGGUACGGGCAGGCUAGAGUGUGGUAGGGGAGACUGGAAUUCCUGGUGUAGCGGUGAAAUGCGCAGAUAUCAGGAGGAACACCGAUGGCGAAGGCAGGUCUCCGGGCCAUAACUGACGCUGAGAAGCGAAAGCAUGGGGAGCGAACAGGAUUAGAUACCCUGGUAGUCCAUGCCGUAAACGUUGGGCGCUAGGUGUGGGGCUCAUUCCACGAGUUCUGUGCCGCAGCUAACGCAUUAAGCGCCCCGCCUGGGGAGUACGG